This 1609-nucleotide long non-coding RNA is filed under the name Homo sapiens (human). RNAcentral's name for it is "non-protein coding lnc-ASCC3-3:1". Lineage: Eukaryota; Metazoa; Chordata; Mammalia; Primates; Hominidae. The record is from RNAcentral.
GGCUUCCAAUUAGGAAUAAUAGUGAACUGGCUUCGUAGCAACUACGGAGGACCAGGAUUCUAAAAUCACCUCACUCGUCCCAAAGCUUGCAUCCUCCUCUUUCUGCCACGCACCCCUCCUCCAAUUCAUGAUCCAGAAAAGGGAGCCGGGAAUGCUCUGCUCCUCUCUGCCGGUGGGAAGCGGAGAGGCCGGCGGUGUCGCUGGGUUGGACGGUAGGCAUGAGAACAGUUAAGAGAUGGGCGCCCCCGAAACCUCUGCCGCUUGUGGGGACUGAAGGGCCUUGAAAGAGUUGUCUGGGGUUCCUGCUCUUCCCAAAGGGGCUCGGAGAUACCUUAAAUGCCGCGAGACUGAAGAGCAAACGUCAGGGAUUAUUAUGUCGAUUUUCCGAGGACCAGGGUUCGCAGCUGGCAGUAGAAGAAAAGGCUGGCUCCUCAGGGGUCCCACUGGCAUUUGAUACCCUGAACGACCCUCAGGAUUGCCCAAAUUCGGUGGAUCGCCCAAAUUCGGUGGAUCAGCAACUUUCCUAUACUGCAUCCCGAAUUUUCAAAGAACAUAUUUUCCGUUCACCCCCGCUGGUCUUUUACUGCCAUCAAUACACUGUUCUUGGUGCAAAUACUUCAGCCUCUUUAUUCAAAGUAUGUUUUAUGUUUUUGCCAAAUAUGAUCUCUAAUUGAAAGUUUAUUUUUGGUUUUGGAUGAAUCUGCGGAGCUUAAGUUGUGAGAAGAAAGGGGGAACAAGACACAAUGAAAGAAAAGUCCAAAAAUGCUGCGCGGACUAGGAGGGAGAAGGAAAACAGUGAAUUUUAUGAACUGGCUAAAUUACUGCCUUUGCCCUCGGCUAUCACCUCGCAGCUGGACAAAGCAUCCAUAAUCAGACUCACGACCAGCUAUCUCAAAAUGAGAGUGGUGUUCCCAGAAGGUAAGUGACUUUGCCCAGAUGGAAUUUCAAAGGCAGAAGGGGCCGGGGAUUUGCCAGGCAAUGAGCCGACAUCAGUGACCAGAGAAAUGCAUACAUAUUUACAUAUAUAUUUUGCAAAGGGAAGUUUAGCUCGGCUGCUUCACUAAGGUCCUCACUGAACUCAGAAUUUCUGUCGCUUUUUUGAGGCUCCCUCUACCUCCCCAUCAAUACUUUCUCUUCAGUCCAUCAGAUAUGUUUGGUUGGGAAGCAGCCCAACAGUCCUUUUGUCAACACUUCAGAUACUAGGCUCAAUUGAAAGUACUACUAAUCCAAACAUGACUUUCUUUUUUACUCCUCUUGUUAGAAUUUUGUCCAGUAAAAACCAGGAGCACCGCCUAAUUCUGUAUUUUUUUUUUGCCAGGUGUGGAUAGACCCAUGUACCUGGAGCUAGAUAGGCCAGAUAAUAAUUUCUCUAUAUAUCUAAAGAUUUGCAAAUGAGUAACAUGCAUAUUUGUGAACAAGUAUGCCUGAAUUUACUCAAGUUCUUAAAUAAAUUCUAAGCAAAUUUAUUCCGAGUUUUCAAGACAUUCGCAGAUUCUGAAACUAACUCUGGAGCUUGAUGAUUUGCAACUGUGGGCUUGAUGUUAUCUGUAAGAUAAUAGGCUAGUCCUAAAAUACAUAAGAUUGAAUUAAGAUGGCUAGCCCGCUUAGA